RNAcentral lists this ribosomal RNA (501 nucleotides) under Lactobacillus amylovorus. RNAcentral's name for it is "bacterial SSU rRNA". It matches the Rfam family "Bacterial small subunit ribosomal RNA", at positions 28 to 496 of the family's 1533-position model. RNAcentral also lists the same sequence under 1 other name. Lineage: Bacteria; Bacillati; Bacillota; Bacilli; Lactobacillales; Lactobacillaceae. The record is from RNAcentral.
GACGAACGCUGGCGGCGUGCCUAAUACAUGCAAGUCGAGCGAGCGGAACCAACAGAUUUACUUCGGUAAUGACGUUGGGAAAGCGAGCGGCGGAUGGGUGAGUAACACGUGGGGAACCUGCCCCUAAGUCUGGGAUACCAUUUGGAAACAGGUGCUAAUACCGGAUAAUAAAGCAGAUCGCAUGAUCAGCUUUUGAAAGGCGGCGUAAGCUGUCGCUAAGGGAUGGCCCCGCGGUGCAUUAGCUAGUUGGUAAGGUAACGGCUUACCAAGGCGACGAUGCAUAGCCGAGUUGAGAGACUGAUCGGCCACAUUGGGACUGAGACACGGCCCAAACUCCUACGGGAGGCAGCAGUAGGGAAUCUUCCACAAUGGACGCAAGUCUGAUGGAGCAACGCCGCGUGAGUGAAGAAGGUUUUCGGAUCGUAAAGCUCUGUUGUUGGUGAAGAAGGAUAGAGGUAGUAACUGGCCUUUAUUUGACGGUAAUCAACCAGAAAGUCACGG